UACGUAGGGUGCGAGCGUUGUCCGGAAUUAUUGGGCGUAAAGGGCUCGUAGGCGGUUUGUCGCGUCGGGAGUGCAAACUCAGGGCUUAACCCUGAGCCUGCUUCCGAUACGGGCAGACUAGAGGUAUGCAGGGGAGAACGGAAUUCCUGGUGUAGCGGUGAAAUGCGCAGAUAUCAGGAGGAACACCGGUGGCGAAGGCGGUUCUCUGGGCAUUACCUGACGCUGAGGAGCGAAAGUGUGGGGAGCGAACAGG
RNAcentral lists this ribosomal RNA (253 nucleotides) under uncultured bacterium. Its description in RNAcentral is "partial 16S ribosomal RNA". It matches the Rfam family "Bacterial small subunit ribosomal RNA", at positions 524 to 776 of the family's 1533-position model. The record is from RNAcentral.